AAUGGGGUGUAAAUGGCAGUGUCAAUUGUGUUGGGAACCUACCUUAAGGAUCAGAUGAUAGGCAUCCUUUUCCUCAUUUUUGGGGGGGUGGGUUGUUUGUUUGUUUUUGUCCCUUCCUCUAUCUUGCUGCCUAGAACACAGAUGCGAAGGCUGGAGUUCAACCCAUUAUACUGGAUCACAAGGACGAAAGUCCCUAGGGACUGCAGAAAGGAGGACUACAAAGAACUUGGUCCCCUAGGACCUCAUGAGGCAGAAUUGCUGCUCUGCCUUCCAGCAGUCAUUUGUGAGAGAGAGAAAUCAACUCACAGGGGAUCUUCCCAACCCAGGGGUCGAACCCACAUGUCUUAUGUCACCUGCAUUGGCAGGAAAGUUCUUUUACCACUGGUGCCACCUGAAAAGUCCCAGUGCAGGUGAGGUUCAAGAAUGAGUGAGUUUUGCUUUGUUCUUUUUUUGUUUUCUCAGUGCUAUAGGUUAUUCUGACACACAGGUAGCUUUGGGAAUCUAGACUCAUUAAACAAGAUUUCUUAUUUUAAGAUAAACAAAAUUUUUUGCCAGUGUGAUGUGUUUUUCAACUUGAUGUUGAAUUGCUCAUAAACUUGUAUGUUAUAUUUCACACAUAUUUGUUGUAGUUCACAUAAACAAAGAACCUGAACAUAAUUUAAAUCUAGACCACAAGGAUAAAGGUCCUUAAAGAUAGUAGAAAGGAUUAUAUCAACAUUUAGUAGAUAACAGUCUCACAGGCCUACUUGAGCCACAAAUUGCUGCUGCUGCUGCUAAGUUGAUUCAGUCGUGUCUGACUCUGUGCGACCCCAUAGACGGCAGCCCACCAGGCUCCACCGUCCCUGGGAUUCUCCAGGCAAGAACACUGGAGUGGGUUGCCAUUUCCUUCUCCAAUGCAUGAAAGUAAAAAGUGAAAGUGAAGUCACACAGUCGUGUCUGACUCUUAGCGACCCCAUGGACUGCAGCCUACCACGCUCCUCCGUCCAUGGGAUUUUCCAGGCAAGAGUACUGGAGUGGGGUACCAUUGCCUUCUCCGAGCCACAAAUUGACUCCUACCUAAAUAGAGAUAAAAAACACUAACAAAGCAUGUGUUAUCAGAGGAAAGAUGGAAAGAAGAGUAAUUCAAGAAGUAAUAUCAGCUAGAGAAAGAACAAGCAAAACCUAUUAUUUCUUUUCUUUGCAG
Long non-coding RNA from Bos taurus (domestic cattle), 1183 nucleotides. The record is from Ensembl. NCBI's taxonomy places the organism in Eukaryota, Metazoa, Chordata, Mammalia, Artiodactyla, Bovidae.